AGAGUUUGAUUAUGGCUCAGGAUGAACGCUGGCGGCGUGCUUAACACAUGCAAGUCGAACGGAGUUUUAAACGGAAGUUCCGGAUGGAAGUUUAGAAACUUAGUGGCGGACGGGUGAGUAACGGCGUGGGUAACCUGCCUCAUACAGGGGGAUAACAGUUAGAAAUGACUGCUAACACCGCAUAAUAUAGCGAAACCGCAUGAUUUUGCUAUCAAAUAUUUAUAGGUAUGAGAUGGGCCCGCGUCUGAUUAGCUAGUUGGUGGGGUAAAAGCCUACCAAGGCGACGAUCAGUAGCCGGCUUGAGAGAGUGACCGGCCACAUUGGGACUGAGACACGGCCCAAACUCCUACGGGAGGCAGCAGUGGGGAAUAUUGGACAAUGGGGGAAACCCUGAUCCAGCGACGCCCGCGUGAGUGAAGAAGUAUUUCGGUAUGUAAAGCUCUAUCAGCAGGGAAGAUAAUGACAGUACCUGACUAAGAAGCCCCGGCUAACUACGUGCCAGCAGCUGC
RNAcentral lists this ribosomal RNA (509 nucleotides) under uncultured bacterium. RNAcentral describes it as "bacterial SSU rRNA". It matches the Rfam family "Bacterial small subunit ribosomal RNA", at positions 8 to 518 of the family's 1533-position model. The record is from RNAcentral.